UACGGGGGGGGCAAGCGUUGUUCGGAAUUACUGGGCGUAAAGGGCUCGUAGGCGGCCAACUAAGUCGGAUGUGAAAUCCCCAGGCUUAACCUGGGAACUGCAUCCGAUACUGGAUGGCUUGAAUCCGGGAGAGGGAUGCGGAAUUCCAGGUGUAGCGGUGAAAUGCGUAGAUAUCUGGAGGAACACCGGUGGCGAAGGCGGCAUCCUGGACCGGUAUUGACGCUGAGGCGCGAAAGCCAGGGGAGCAAACGGG
This 253-nucleotide ribosomal RNA is filed under the name uncultured bacterium. RNAcentral describes it as "partial 16S ribosomal RNA". It matches the Rfam family "Bacterial small subunit ribosomal RNA", at positions 524 to 776 of the family's 1533-position model. The record is from RNAcentral.